GACGAACGCUGGCGGCGUGCUUAACACAUGCAAGUCGAGCGAGGCCCCUCCUUCGGGAGGGUGUCCUAGCGGCGAACGGGUGAGUAACACGUGGGCAACCUGCCCUCAGCUCUGGGAUAACUCCGGGAAACCGGGGCUAAUACCGGAUACGACCUCCACGGGCAUCUGCGGAGGUGGAAAGUUUUUCGGCUGAGGAUGGGCCCGCGGCCUAUCAGCUAGUUGGUGGGGUAGUGGCCCACCAAGGCGACGACGGGUAGCCGGCCUGAGAGGGCGACCGGCCACACUGGGACUGAGACACGGCCCAGACUCCUACGGGAGGCAGCAGUGGGGAAUAUUGCGCAAUGGGCGAAAGCCUGACGCAGCGACGCCGCGUGAGGGACGAAGGCCUUCGGGCUGUAAACCUCUUUCAGCAGGGACGAAGCGAAAGUGACGGUACCUGCAGAAGAAGCACCGGCCAACUACGUG
RNAcentral lists this ribosomal RNA (465 nucleotides) under uncultured bacterium. Its description in RNAcentral is "partial 16S ribosomal RNA". It matches the Rfam family "Bacterial small subunit ribosomal RNA", at positions 28 to 507 of the family's 1533-position model. The record is from RNAcentral.